This is a long non-coding RNA of Equus caballus (horse), 1569 nucleotides long. Lineage: Eukaryota; Metazoa; Chordata; Mammalia; Perissodactyla; Equidae. The record is from Ensembl.
CUUCCAAUUUCUUUAUAAAAAUAAUUGUUGUUUAAGAAAAACAGUGAAUUGAAAAUAUUGCACAAGAAGGAGAAGAUCCAAUUCCAAGAAGUUUCCACAGAAAGUUGGGAGCUUCCCAGGCAAAUUGAUGAGCCACAGCACAAAGAUAAUAAAACACCCUCUACCUUUAGAAGAACGUUGAGUGUGUUGCAUAAGGAAGUGACUCAUGCUCAAAUUCCCACCAAUAAAGGAUCAUUAAUUAAAUAUAUUUGUUAAAGAAUACAUACAACAAUAAUAAAAACAGGAAUCUUGUUUGAGCAUUUGGGCCUUACAAGGACCUAGGAAUGCCACACAUCUGGGCUAAUAAAGACAGAAAUAGAGUUUGGGAAGUGAUCUGGCUCUAGAGUUUCCAGCCCAGCAGUAGGUCUGUUGCUCUCUCCUUUUAUGUUUUGCUACUAUGUUGACUUUGGUAUUUCUUGCUUCUGCUUCUAUCGCUCCUGCCUCUGACAAACGCUUUCCCUCGAUUCUCACCUUCUUUGCCUCCUUGCUCCCAAACAGUCUCUGCUUCCUCUCAAUUGUGGCUUAUUAAUUACUCUUAGUUCCUCAUGUCUUCUGCUUAUUGCCUCUUUCUCCCUGUGUGUUCCCUGGCUUCUGCUCCCUGCCAGCAGCCACUAACUCUUUAUGUCUUCAAUUUAGAUUCUCAGAAUCCAAUAGGGUCAAGGGCACAGGAAGAAAGUUGAGAUUUGAAUUGAAUGAAGGGAAACCUCAUCCUUUAAGACUGAAGGGAAAAAGGAUAUUGAUGAAGUGGUUUUGUGGAAGGUCUAGAAUGUAGGCCUCAAGAAGCUUCUGCCUCUCCCUUCUUAGAACACUGCCUUGGGACUGCCAUAGCAUGAAAAAGCCCAAGAGGAAAGACCAUGGAAAGAGAGGCCAAGCCAUCCCAGCUCUCUCUCCUCACUCUCUACCCAUUGCCAGGCAAAUGCAGCCGCAAGAGUGAGCCCAGUGGAUACCAGCAGGACUGCCCAAUCAGCCCAUAGACUGAUAAAAAAUAAUACAUAUUUGUAAAAUAUGAUGUAUUUUUUUAAAAAUAAAUAAACCUGGAAUAUUUGAGGCCCAGUUGGUAAUCCAGAGCAAGCAAGAAAUGAGGUCGGAGAGGACAAAGGGUGUGGAAGGUGAUGAUCAUGCUUAAAGUUUAUCGUAAGGACUUGGACUUGGACUCUGUGAUGCAAAGCUGCUAACGGAUCCAUGCAGAGGAGUGACAUGAUCUGACUCGAGUCCUAAAAGGAUCACUUUAUGAAUAGCUUUGAUACAACAUUAUACAUAGAUAUGACAGGACAUUGUUCUAUUAGUUCAUUAAGACUAAUUGGCAUGUGACUACAAAAAGAAUGGAUUUGGCAGUUACAUUAAUUGACAAAUUGGAUAUUCUGAGUCUCAAUGUAUAAAUUUUGGCUUCACUUUUUGUGGAUUAGACUUACACUUUCAAUAACUUAAUUUUGCUGCUCCACACCCCUAAAUUAUUUUUCGUAGUUACUACCUGAGUUCAUGGUUCCCCAAAUUCUCCAAAAUAGAAUCUAGAUCAAGUAAGAAGCUAUA